Molecule: ribosomal RNA, 253 nt
Filed under: uncultured bacterium
Lineage: Bacteria
Description: partial 16S ribosomal RNA
Rfam family: Bacterial small subunit ribosomal RNA
Source: RNAcentral
UACGUAGGGUGCAAGCGUUGUCCGGAAUUAUUGGGCGUAAAGAGCUCGUAGGCGGUUUGUUGCGUCGGCUGUGAAAUCCCGAGGCUCAACCUCGGGUCUGCAGUCGAUACGAGCAAACUAGAGUGUUGCAGGGGAGACUGGAAUUCCUGGUGUAGCGGUGAAAUGCGCAGAUAUCAGGAGGAACACCGGUGGCGAAGGCGGGUCUCUGGGCCGUAACUGACGCUGAGGAGCGAAAGCAUGGGGAGCGAACGGG